RNAcentral lists this ribosomal RNA (64 nucleotides) under uncultured bacterium. RNAcentral describes it as "partial 16S ribosomal RNA". The record is from RNAcentral.
UGGGCAACCUGCCCCUGACACGUGGGAUAACCCCGGGGAAACCGGAGCGUAAUACCGGAUACUC